AAAUCGGUAUCGAAAUCGGUAGACGCUACGGACUUAAAUCCGUCGACUUUAGAAAUCGUGAGGGUUCAAGUCCCUCUAUCCCC
RNAcentral lists this transfer RNA (83 nucleotides) under Casearia prunifolia. Lineage: Eukaryota; Viridiplantae; Streptophyta; Magnoliopsida; Malpighiales; Salicaceae. The record is from RNAcentral.